RNAcentral lists this ribosomal RNA (1263 nucleotides) under Triticum aestivum (bread wheat). Its description in RNAcentral is "partial small subunit ribosomal RNA". Lineage: Eukaryota; Viridiplantae; Streptophyta; Magnoliopsida; Poales; Poaceae. The record is from RNAcentral.
AUGGAAGGGUCGUCGGUGGAGGUGCCGCCGUACUUCCUGUGCCCCAUCUCGCUGGAGAUCAUGCGGGACCCCGUCACGCUCGCCACCGGCAUCACCUACGACCGCUGCAGCAUCGAGCGCUGGCUCUCCGACGGCCACGCCACCUGCCCCGUCACGCAGCAAAAGCUCGCCGAGGCCGACCGGGAGGCCACGCCAAACCACACGCUCCGCCGCCUCACCCAGGCCUGGUGCGCCCUGCACGCCGUCGAGCGCUUCCCCACCCCGCGCCUGCCCCUUGACGCCGCCCGCGUCGCCCAGAUCGUCGAAGAGGGCCACGGUGCGGGCCGGCAGCAGGAGCUGGCCGCGCUCCGGGAGAUCAAGGCCAUCGUCGCUGAGAGCGACCGCAACAGGCGCUGCGUCGAGGCCACGCCCGGGGCCGUCGAGUUCCUCGUCUCCGUCGUCAGGAACCAUGCCACCGCGUCCAAGUCGGCAGAAGAUCUGUUAGAACUUUCGCUGGAUUCCCCCACGUCCACGAGCUCGCCGGAGGAGGACGCGCUCAGCGUCAUCUGCUCGCUCAAGCCGUCCAAGAAGAGCCUGGUCCGGAUCCUCGAGGAAAACGGAGACUUCCUGGACACCCUGGUGUACAUGCUGCGGCGACCCAGCUACCGGUCCCGCUGCUACGGCAUCCUCCUGCUGAAGGCGAUGGUGUCGGUCAUGGAGCCGGCGCGUCUCAUGGCCGUGAGAACCGAGGUGGUGCAGGAGCUGGUGCGCGUGGUGUCCGACAGGGUGUCCGCCAAGGCCGUGAAGGCCGCGCUGAACGUGCUGUGCCGGCUGUGCCCAUGGGGCCGGAACCGCGUCAAGGCCGUGGAGGCCGGCGCGAUGACUGUGCUGGUGGAGCUUCUCCUCGACGAGGGGGGCCGGCACCCCACCGAGCUGGCCGUGGUGGCCAUCGACCACCUCUGCGGUUGUGCGGAGGGGCGGUCGGACCUGGUGGCGCACCCGGCGGGGCUGGCAAUCGUGGCCAAGAAGGCCAUGCGGGUGUCGCUGACAACCACCGAGAGCGCGGUGCGCGCUGUGCACGCUGUGGCGAGGCACUCGCCGACGCCGGCCGUGCUGCAGGAGAUGCUGGCCGUCGGGGUGGUGGCGAAGCUGCUGCUAGUUCUACAGGUGGACGCUGGCGAGCGGGCCAGGGCCAAGGCCAAGGAGCUGCUCAAGAUGCACGCUAGGGUUUGGAAGGACUCCCCAUGCAUGCAAGCGCACCUCAAGGCGCGUUACCCUUGCUGA